GAUGGUUCAUCUUGCCUAGGGCGCUUAGUUAUAGGGAGAAAACAGGGUCAAGUGUCUGCCAGGGAGAUGGCUGCUUCGAUGUCCAUCAGCCGACGGCACGGGAAGCCACUUUUUGAUGGUGUUUUUGAUCCUGGAGAUGAUGACAUGCUGUUCCCUUAGCAAACUGGAGCUUAUAAAAAGUUUUUGAAUAAUUUCCCAAGAGCACUCAAAGUGUGCCGAGUCUAAAGAUGAAAACGACGCUGAGUCAUCGUACCUAGAGGAAGUGUCAGAACACUUCACAGGGAAUGGAAUUUCAGCAGAUCUUUGGCAUAGAGGAUGCCAGGUAGAGCAAAAGCGAAAGAGUGGCACCCGCCAGUGCUUAAGGAGGAUGGAAAAGGCACCACACAGAGUCAUUUGUUGGGGACUGGACCAACUCUAUCACUGGCAGGUGUUCCAAGUCCUGGGAGUUUGGAGAUGAAAUGAAUGAUUCUUCCUUGGAAGAGGACCUGUGAUCUAGACAGCUCAUUCUUUAUCUACCUUGGGAAAGCUCAUGAUCUGAGCUUGGAAGAGACUUCAAAUCCAAUCUGAAAGUUGUUGGCUACUCUCUUAACAUUCCUGCCACUAUUGAAUAAGCAUGCCUUGCCAGGCCAGCCUACUCUCACCUGGGUGAUGUGUUUGGACCCCUGGGCUGGUGCAAUGAGAUCUUAGAACGUGCACUCUGCCAAAUUGGAAGAAAAACAAGAGUUCAAAAAUGAAUCAUACUGUAGAGUAAGGGAUUACCAGCCUACAAUCCACACUGCCAGAGAAACUAGUAAACAAGGAG
Molecule: long non-coding RNA, 802 nt
Filed under: Cricetulus griseus (Chinese hamster)
Lineage: Eukaryota; Metazoa; Chordata; Mammalia; Rodentia; Cricetidae
Description: lncRNA (ENSCGRG00015030577.1)
Source: RNAcentral